RNAcentral lists this ribosomal RNA (499 nucleotides) under Bacteroides pyogenes. RNAcentral describes it as "bacterial SSU rRNA". It matches the Rfam family "Bacterial small subunit ribosomal RNA", at positions 9 to 495 of the family's 1533-position model. Lineage: Bacteria; Pseudomonadati; Bacteroidota; Bacteroidia; Bacteroidales; Bacteroidaceae. The record is from RNAcentral.
GAGUUUGAUUCUGGCUCAGGAUGAACGCUAGCUACAGGCUUAACACAUGCAAGUCGAGGGGCAGCAUGAAUAUUGGCUUGCCAAUAUUUGAUGGCGACCGGCGCACGGGUGAGUAACACGUAUCCAACCUUCCGGUUACUCGGGGAUAGGCUUUCGAAAGAAAGAUUAAUACCCGAUGUUGUGUAUCUUUCUCCUGAUUGAUACGCCAAAGGAUUCCGGUAACCGAUGGGGAUGCGUUCCAUUAGGCAGUUGGCGGGGUAACGGCCCACCAAACCUUCGAUGGAUAGGGGUUCUGAGAGGAAGGUCCCCCACAUUGGAACUGAGACACGGUCCAAACUCCUACGGGAGGCAGCAGUGAGGAAUAUUGGUCAAUGGACGGAAGUCUGAACCAGCCAAGUAGCGUGAAGGAUGACUGCCCUCUGGGUUGUAAACUUAUUUUAUACGGGAAUAACAUGAGGUACGGGUACCUUAUUGCAUGUACCGUUAUGAAUAAGCAUCG